UACGAAGGGGGCUAGCGUUGUUCGGAAUUACUGGGCGUAAAGCGCGCGCAGGCAGUUUUUCAAGUCAGUGGUGAAAGCCCGGAGCUCAACUCCGGAAAUGCCAUUGAAACUGUAAAACUUGAGGACGAGAGAGGUGAGUGGAAUUCCCAGUGUAGAGGUGAAAUUCGUAGAUAUUGGGAAGAACACCGGUGGCGAAGGCGGCUCACUGGCUCGUUUCUGACGCUCAGGCGCGAUAGCGUGGGGAUCAAACAGG
This 253-nucleotide ribosomal RNA is filed under the name uncultured bacterium. RNAcentral describes it as "partial 16S ribosomal RNA". It matches the Rfam family "Bacterial small subunit ribosomal RNA", at positions 524 to 776 of the family's 1533-position model. The record is from RNAcentral.